RNAcentral lists this long non-coding RNA (3735 nucleotides) under Salvia miltiorrhiza (redroot sage). Its description in RNAcentral is "long non-coding RNA (SMIL_LNC009169)". The record is from RNAcentral. Lineage: Eukaryota; Viridiplantae; Streptophyta; Magnoliopsida; Lamiales; Lamiaceae.
CAUCAGCAAUCUGCAUCCUCCUCCUUCCAUAUCCUCCGCCUCCGCCCCUUCUGUUCUCCCAACAAGCGUCUGCCUCAUUUCCACCCGCCCGCUUUUCACCCGUCAAUAUGCACCGUCAAUGCUGACCAGGCGGCGCCGCCUCCUUCGCCUUCUCCAAAUGAAACCGCCAUUUCUUCCCGUCUGUCCUCUUGCACCACCCGGGCUCCAGAUCUCCUUUUCUGCUGUAUCUACUACCGCCUGAAACAAUUUAUGAGUUCAGUUAAUAAUAUGCAGAGAUUGGAUGUGGAAUGGUAUGGGAGAAUGAAAAAUAUUUAUAUAUGUGCAUUUACAGGGGAAAGAGAAGAUGAGGCGGCACAGGAACACAGGAAAUCAUGCAUGUGUAGAUCAUAGCUUGUCUCUCCAGUUCGUUCCAUUGUGCACCUGUGAAUGCAACUUCUCCACCUGAAUCAUCCAUCCUUCUAAAUCAAGACAAAAUAAAAAAAUAAUACUAAAAAAUAAAUCAUGAUCGUUUACCUCCUAUAUAAACUGUAAUUGUGAAGUCCAUUUUUCAGCAAAAUCAAAUUCCUUGCUUUUAUUUCCAGUGAUGAAUCUUCUUAUCACCAGAAAAGUAUAAAAAAAAAGUAUCUAAACUCAGACACUGCAAAAAAAGAUGUGUCUUCGACAAGAAAAAGUAAGAUAAAAUUCCACAACCUCACUCAAUAAGAAUUCCUCUCACCUUAAACAAUGUUUUUCCCAUUUCAUAUUCAACCACUGUAAGAAACCAUCGCCAUGAGUGGAAGCUUCCGGAAUUCCCGACAGCCGGAAAGUUGGCCGUCCGGACAGGAGUAGUGGAUUUAUCUUCCUGUUAAUCGAUCCGGCUUGCUUCCUCCGAUCAGAUCUCUGGUUUGUUCCUUCAAUCUUCAAAAAACACCCACGGCUCAACCAUGGACGCCCCAAAUCCAUCAGCAAUCUACAUCCUCCUCCCAUAUCCUCCGUCUCCGCCCCUUCUGUUCCCCCAACAAGCGUCUGCCUCAUUUCCCACCCGCCCGCUUUUCACCCGUCAAUUCGCCUUCUCCAAAUGAAAUCCUCGGUGGCCAGCGAAAGAGAGGGGAAGGGAGAAGGCGGCCGAGAGGCGUCUCUCAAACCCUAGUGUCCUACCCUUCCUUUUACUUCAGCCCAAGUGUCCACCCAACGGUCAUAAGUUCUGCACUCUCAGUGGCCAAAGAUUACUACAUUUAAAUUUUCGGCCCAACAGCCCAAACUCGCAUCUUAACUCAGCCCGCUUUUUCUCCUCUUCAGCCUAUUUUAAAUUUAAAUUAAAUAAGAACAAAAUUCAAAUUAAAUAGACAACUAAUAAUAAUAAUAACAAUAAUAAAUUACUUGUAAAUUAUUUACAUAAUUAUUUUUUAAAAAAAUAAAAAAAAUCUCUCUCCUCAAUCUUCUUUUUGGAAUAAAUUUUGCCUUUUCAUAAUAUUAAUUUCUAUUAUUGCAAACUCUUCUUUACUUUCUUUUUUCAAUAUUCAGCUCAUAUACAGUCAGUUAAAAUUUAAUUUUUAUUACAUUAAUUAAUAAAUAUGAUAAUUCAGUUGGUAUAUAUUUUAUAUAAAUACAAAAAUACAAAAAUAUUUUCAGGGUGGAAUUGCUAAUUAUUUUUUUACUUGUGAAUAAUUUUGUUUCAAUUUAUUAUGUUUUUCUCUAUAGUGUACAAUUAUUUUCUAUUUUUGUGUUAUUUUCUUCUCUUUAUUUAUUUAAAUUAAUAACUAUGAUAAAAAUUAUAAGUUAAUAAGUUAAUAAAUAUUAUAAAUAAAUUAUGACCAUGUCAGUUUUAAAAAUAAGAGUAGUGAUUAAUUACUUUAGUAUUUAUUUUUUCAAAAUAUGUUGAAAAUCAUUGAAUUUUAAAUUAAAAUCAUGAAGAUUAUGUGUAAAUUAUUUACAUAAUUGUUCUUAAAAGUAUUUUAAGUGUGUGUAGAUUAGUAUAAAAGUAAUAAAGUAGGAGAGAGAAGGUGAUAAAGUAUGAGAGAGAAGAUAAUAAAAUGAUAAAGUGGGAGAGAGAAUGUGAUAAAGUAGGAGAGAGAAUGUAAUAAAGUGAUAAAGUAGGAGAGAUAAUGUGAUAAAGUAGUGAUUGAAUGUGAUAAAUAUUUCCAUUUAGAAAAGUGACCAACAAUAGUCGGACAAACAAAAAACAAAUGCAGCCAAACAAUAUAAAAAAAGAGGGAGUAAUGUUUAUUUGUUAAUUUAAUUUAGGAAUAAAAUAAGAAAUGUAAUGUAAUUGCAAGUAUAUAUAUGAACUUCAAUCAAUAAUAUUGACAUCAAUUAAUAGGUUAAAAUAAAAUAAUAGUAUUAGUCUUAGGUUAGAAAUUAAAAAAAAAAAAGUAGUAAAAAAAACAUGGAGGCUCAUUAUAAACACAAACAACUUAGCUCAUAAACAAUGAGUCCUUGAAGUUAGAUCUGAAAAUUAAGGCCAAAAUAACUCUCGGUCAAAGGAGAUGGAGUGUAUGGUAAUAAGUUAGACCAUAUAUUCACAUAAACUGCUAUUACCAUAAACGCCCACUAUGUGAUCACUAUCUGCUAUUGCAACCGGUAUGGCUGUUGCUUUGACAACUAUGAUGACAAAAAUUGGGUAAAAACCCUAUCAAGCAAUUGAUAGGGUUCACUCUUAACAUUGCCAAUUAUAAGGUUUAAGACCUAAAGCACAAAUAAUAAUGAGGCUAAGACUCCAUACAUAGUAGUAUUUGUAUCCAAAUCCAGCUACGACUUAAAAUACCAGUCAUUAGCAAUUGUAGCCAUACCACCACAACAUAAUCUUCUAAUACUUCUGAAACUCUUGAUAAAUGAAAAUAAAUGAAUUCGUAAUGAGAUUUGUAUCACCUUCAAAGUGUUGGUGCGCAGACACAUAUUUAACUGCUUCUCUCUCGAGAGAAAAUAGUCUUUAGUUUCCAUUAUACCCAGCAUCUAAACAGAAUGGUAAAUUCUUCAAUCAUGCAAUUUGAGAUUGAAAAACAUCACAAAAGUAAUAGGAAAACAUAAAAGAAAAGUGUACCUCCAUUACAGCUUCAAUCAUAAACUUAUUGUACCGCGAAUAUGUGAUGAGAUCCAUCACGAGCUGAUUAACAUAAUCCUUGUAUGUCGGUUUCUCUUCCUUCAAAAGCUCAAAAACAGAGAGUACCCUAAAAACUGAAAAUAAGGAUUACCAAAGAGAACAGCCAAUUAAAUUAAGGCCACGGAAUUUCAGAAGGGAAAAAAAAGAAAUAUAACAAAACAUACUAUCGUUGAUCCUUUCCCAGAGCUUGGAACGAGGCAUGCGCUUACUCUUUUCCUCUUCGAACUCCUAGGUUAUUGUAUGGAAAUUUAUAAGCACUUUUCAAUUCAUAAGAUAAUACUCCCUCCGUCCACGAAAGAACUUCCUAUCUUUCCUUUUUGGGACGUCCACAAAAGAACUUCCUACCUAUUUUUGGACUAUACCCCACCACUUAUAAUCCUCUUACUUUUCACUUUUCACAACUCCCAAUAUUAAUUUAUAACACCUUUUCACCACUCCUAAUACACUCAACUAUCUUAUAUCCACUCUCAANCCGCUUUUCACCCGUCAAUAUGCACCGUCAAUGCUGACAAGGCGGCGCCGCCUCCUUCGCCUUCUCCAAAUGAAACCGCCAUUUCUUCCCGUCUGUCCUCUUGCACCACCCGGGCUUCGGAUCUCCUUUUCUGCUGUAUCUAAUACCGCCUGAAACAAUUUCUGAGUUCAGUUAAUAAUAUGCA